This 487-nucleotide ribosomal RNA is filed under the name uncultured bacterium. RNAcentral describes it as "partial 16S ribosomal RNA". It matches the Rfam family "Bacterial small subunit ribosomal RNA", at positions 28 to 507 of the family's 1533-position model. The record is from RNAcentral.
GAUGAACGCUAGCGAUAGGCUUAACACAUGCAAGUCGAGGGGCAGCACAAGGUAGCUUGCUAUCUGGGUGGCGACCGGCGCACGGGUGCGUAACGCGUAUGCAACUUGCCCUAUACAGGAGGAUAACCCGUCGAAAGACGGACUAAUACUGCGUAUGCUCACAACUUGGCAUCAAGUGGUGAGGAAAGAAAUUCGGUAUAGGAUAGGCAUGCGUCCCAUUAGCUUGUUGGUGAGGUAACGGCUCACCAAGGCAACGAUGGGUAGGGGAACUGAGAGGUUUAUCCCCCACACUGGUACUGAGACACGGACCAGACUACUACGGGAGGCAGCAGUGAGGAAUAUUGGUCAAUGGGCGCGAGCCUGAACCAGCCAAGUCGCGUGAAGGAUGACUGUCUUAUGGAUUGUAAACUUCUUUUAUACGGGAAUAACAAGAGUCACGUGUGACUCCCUGCAUGUACCGUAUGAAUAAGCAUCGGCUAACUCCGUG